This is a non-coding RNA of Ornithorhynchus anatinus (platypus), 72 nucleotides long. Lineage: Eukaryota; Metazoa; Chordata; Mammalia; Monotremata; Ornithorhynchidae. The record is from Rfam.
AGCAGUGUGGCUCAGUGGAAAGAGCACGGUGUUAGGAGUCAGGGGUCAUGGGUUCCAAUCCCAGCUCUGCCA